Molecule: ribosomal RNA, 439 nt
Filed under: uncultured bacterium
Lineage: Bacteria
Description: bacterial SSU rRNA
Rfam family: Bacterial small subunit ribosomal RNA
Source: RNAcentral
AGAGUUUGAUCCUGGCUCAGAUUGAACGCUGGCGGCAUGCCUUACACAUGCAAGUCGAACGGCAGCACGGGGGCAACCCUGGUGGCGAGUGGCGAACGGGUGAGUAAUACAUCGGAACGUGUCCUGUAGUGGGGGAUAGCCCGGCGAAAGCCGGAUUAAUACCGCAUACGAUCUACGGAAGAAAGCGGGGGAUCGCAAGACCUCGCGCUAUAGGGGCGGCCGAUGGCAGAUUAGCUAGUUGGUGGGGUAAAGGCCUACCAAGGCGACGAUCUGUAGCUGGUCUGAGAGGACGACCAGCCACACUGGGACUGAGACACGGCCCAGACUCCUACGGGAGGCAGCAGUGGGGAAUUUUGGACAAUGGGGGAAACCCUGAUCCAGCAAUGCCGCGUGUGUGAAGAAGGCCUUCGGGUUGUAAAGCACUUUUGUCCGGAAAGAA